CUCCACUACGGGGCGCAGCAGUGGGGAAUCUUCCGCAAUGGGCGCAAGCCUGACGGAGCAAUGCCGCGUGAACGAAGAAGGUCUUCGGAUUGUAAAGUUCUGUCCUUAUCGAAGAGAGGGUAUAGAGUGAAAAAUGAUAUACUAGGACGGUAGAUGAGGAGGAAGCCCCGGCUAACUACGUGCCAGCAGCCGCGGUAAUACGUAGGGGGCGAGCGUUGUCCGGAAUCACUGGGCGUAAAGGGCGCGUAGGCAGUAAUAUAAGUCAGAUGUGAAAGGGGGGGGCUCAACCCCUAAAGUGCAACGUG
Molecule: ribosomal RNA, 305 nt
Filed under: uncultured bacterium
Lineage: Bacteria
Description: bacterial SSU rRNA
Rfam family: Bacterial small subunit ribosomal RNA
Source: RNAcentral